UAAUGAAUAAUCUCAAGGAUUUCUGGUACAAAACUAAGAUGCUAUGUAAGUGGAAUCCCAAAAGGAAGAGAGAAGGAACAUGAAGCUAAAUUCGUCAAGUUUGAUGAAUCAAUGAAUAAAUCAUUGUAGUGGAGAUGCCACUGAGAUAUGGUCUGCACUGCCUGUUGCCAUGGAUCCCAGUCUUUGGCCAUAUGUGGAAUCCCCAGAGGUGCAGUUGUGGUUUUGGCAGCCGUGGCUGGCGGAACGGUGCAUCCCUGCAGACAUAGCAGCAGGCAGGGUCCCGCUGCAGAGAGCCGUGUUCGGACGGACCAUCCAGCGGAGACAUGUUUCCAAACCAUGAAGGCCGCCAGCAGCUGCCACGGAGAGACAUUCUGGCAAGGGAUCAGCAGCAUUUUCCUAGCAGGACAGUUUUAAACUUGUGGAGGAAACAGGGCUGAGCAGGCAGGGCUACAAGUGUGCUGGGAGUCUCCCAGGGCCUGGAUGUCUCUGGAAAAAUGUGGUAGCCAUAUCCAACAGAAAAACAAAACAAGGCAUGCGGGUGGAAAUAUGGGACUUCUUGGAAAUGAAAAGAAAGAAAAGAACAAGUCUGCAUCCCCACGCUUGACCUCUUCCUGUACCCCGGCUGCUGACUGGACAGCUCCACUUGGCUUUUCUAAUGUCACCUCAGAUUCAAAUGAUCCAAAACUGAGGUCAUCCUCCCCCAAACUGGCUCCUCUUCCUCUUCUGUCGGUAGAACCACACUUCCAGACACCCAGAGCACGGCCUCCGGGAAGCCUUUGAUUCUCCCCUUCUCCGUGUCAGCUCUGUCCCUGGUUCUGCUGGCAGACGUCCCCCUCCACACAGCUCUCUCUCUGACCUUUCUGAGUCAUGAUUGCAAAGUCAUAGCUCACAAAACUGAACAAGAUUAUUGUAUAAGAAAAGGUAUUUCAAAAAAGAAAACUAGACAGAAAAAUUGAAAUACACCAGGGAUUUUCCCCAAUGCCUCAUCCUGAGGGCACGAGCCCUGGACAGGAUGAUGCGCGCGCGGCUUCCAGGGCCUCCUGAGCCCCUGUCUCUUUGGCUUGGAGCCUUUACCACACGAGGCUCACAUCUUGACCUACCUUCUGUGCCAGACUCCUGACCGUACCCUCCUUGGCACCUGCUAUUACUGUUCAUAAUACACUCACUCAUCCCCCUGUCUGCCUCACAAAAUGCCCUUUAUUUGCCCUUGGAAGACUGGGUGUCUUUCAAAGAACAGCUCAGCUCUACAAUAUCUGCCUUGUGUGCUGUUUGACUAGUAUCUGCCCUGAGAGUCCACUGCAUCCACAGAGCAAGGCCACGAGAGUGGUCACUAGCUCAGGCCCCAGCACCACAGGCACCUGUAAGUGGUAGCUGUGCAAUUUGGACCAUGUUACUUAACAUUUCAGAGGCUUUGUUGUUGUCAUAUUUGUAAAAUGGGACUAAUAAUUGUAUCUAACUUAAAAGGUCAUACAGAGAAUUAAAUGGGAUAUUGCACGCAAGGUGCUUAGA
Molecule: non-coding RNA, 1509 nt
Organism: Manis javanica (Malayan pangolin)
Lineage: Eukaryota; Metazoa; Chordata; Mammalia; Pholidota; Manidae
Source: RefSeq, a predicted model, not a curated record